This 651-nucleotide ribosomal RNA is filed under the name Nocardioides marinus. Its description in RNAcentral is "bacterial SSU rRNA". It matches the Rfam family "Bacterial small subunit ribosomal RNA", at positions 97 to 761 of the family's 1533-position model. Lineage: Bacteria; Bacillati; Actinomycetota; Actinomycetes; Propionibacteriales; Nocardioidaceae. The record is from RNAcentral.
GGCGAACGGGUGAGUAACACGUGAGUAAUCUGCCUCUGGCUUCGGGAUAGCCACCGGAAACGGUGAUUAAUACCGGAUAUGACAUCUUCACGCAUGUGAUGGGUGUGGAAAGUUUUUUCGGCCAGGGAUGUGCUCGCGGCCUAUCAGCUUGUUGGUGGGGUAAUGGCCUACCAAGGCUUCGACGGGUAGCCGGCCUGAGAGGGUGACCGGCCACACUGGGACUGAGACACGGCCCAGACUCCUACGGGAGGCAGCAGUGGGGAAUAUUGGACAAUGGGCGGAAGCCUGAUCCAGCAACGCCGCGUGAGGGAUGACGGCCUUCGGGUUGUAAACCUCUUUCAGCACAGACGAAGCGCAAGUGACGGUAUGUGCAGAAGAAGGACCGGCCAACUACGUGCCAGCAGCCGCGGUAAUACGUAGGGUCCGAGCGUUGUCCGGAAUUAUUGGGCGUAAAGGGCUCGUAGGCGGUUUGUCGCGUCGGGAGUGAAAACACCGGGCUUAACUCGGUGCUUGCUUUCGAUACGGGCAGACUAGAGGCAUUCAGGGGAGAACGGAAUUCCUGGUGUAGCGGUGAAAUGCGCAGAUAUCAGGAGGAACACCGGUGGCGAAGGCGGUUCUCUGGGAAUGUCCUGACGCUGAGGAGCGAAAGUG